RNAcentral lists this ribosomal RNA (620 nucleotides) under Bacillus zhangzhouensis. RNAcentral describes it as "bacterial SSU rRNA". It matches the Rfam family "Bacterial small subunit ribosomal RNA", at positions 77 to 682 of the family's 1533-position model. Lineage: Bacteria; Bacillati; Bacillota; Bacilli; Caryophanales; Bacillaceae. The record is from RNAcentral.
AGCUUGCUCCCGGAUGUUAGCGGCGGACGGGUGAGUAACACGUGGGUAACCUGCCUGUAAGACUGGGAUAACUCCGGGAAACCGGAGCUAAUACCGGAUAGUUCCUUGAACCGCAUGGUUCAAGGAUGAAAGACGGUUUCGGCUGUCACUUACAGAUGGACCCGCGGCGCAUUAGCUAGUUGGUGGGGUAAUGGCUCACCAAGGCGACGAUGCGUAGCCGACCUGAGAGGGUGAUCGGCCACACUGGGACUGAGACACGGCCCAGACUCCUACGGGAGGCAGCAGUAGGGAAUCUUCCGCAAUGGACGAAAGUCUGACGGAGCAACGCCGCGUGAGUGAUGAAGGUUUUCGGAUCGUAAAGCUCUGUUGUUAGGGAAGAACAAGUGCGAGAGUAACUGCUCGCACCUUGACGGUACCUAACCAGAAAGCCACGGCUAACUACGUGCCAGCAGCCGCGGUAAUACGUAGGUGGCAAGCGUUGUCCGGAAUUAUUGGGCGUAAAGGGCUCGCAGGCGGUUUCUUAAGUCUGAUGUGAAAGCCCCCGGCUCAACCGGGGAGGGUCAUUGGAAACUGGGAAACUUGAGUGCAGAAGAGGAGAGUGGAAUUCCACGUGUAGCGGU